UACGUAGGGUGCAAGCGUUGUCCGGAAUUAUUGGGCGUAAAGAGCUCGUAGGCGGUCUGUCGCGUCUGCUGUGAAGACUCAGGGCUUAACCCUGAGCUUGCAGUGGGUACGGGCAGACUAGAGUGCGGUAGGGGAGACUGGAAUUCCUGGUGUAGCGGUGAAAUGCGCAGAUAUCAGGAGGAACACCGGUGGCGAAGGCGGGUCUCUGGGCCGUAACUGACGCUGAGGAGCGAAAGCAUGGGGAGCGAACAGG
Molecule: ribosomal RNA, 253 nt
Filed under: uncultured bacterium
Lineage: Bacteria
Description: partial 16S ribosomal RNA
Rfam family: Bacterial small subunit ribosomal RNA
Source: RNAcentral